RNAcentral lists this transfer RNA (73 nucleotides) under Ixodes scapularis (black-legged tick). RNAcentral's name for it is "tRNA-Ser for anticodon GGA". It matches the Rfam family "tRNA". Rfam says of the family: Transfer RNA (tRNA) molecules are approximately 80 nucleotides in length. Lineage: Eukaryota; Metazoa; Arthropoda; Arachnida; Ixodida; Ixodidae. The record is from RNAcentral.
UCCUGGUUAGUUUAGUUGUUAGAACGCUCCACUGGAAAUGUAGAGGUUCCUGGUUCGAUACCAGGACCAGGCG